This 307-nucleotide ribosomal RNA is filed under the name uncultured eukaryote. RNAcentral's name for it is "partial 18S ribosomal RNA". It matches the Rfam family "Eukaryotic small subunit ribosomal RNA", at positions 1470 to 1796 of the family's 1831-position model. The record is from RNAcentral.
CCCUUAGACGUUCUGGGCCGCACGUGCGCUACACUGACACAGGCAACGAGCUUUCCUUUACCGAAAGGUAUGGGUAAUCUUUUGAAACUGUGUCGUGCUGGGGAUAGAUCCUUGCAAUUUUUGAUCUUAAACGAGGAAUUCCUAGUAAGCGCGAGUCAUCAACUCGCGUUGAUUACGUCCCUGCCCUUUGUACACACCGCCCGUCGCUACUACCGAUUGAAUGGCUUAGUGAGGCCUCAGGAUCCGCGCUUAAUGUGUGGAGAAUUUGGACAAACUACGUCAUUUAGAGGAAGUAAAAGUCGUAACA